RNAcentral lists this ribosomal RNA (253 nucleotides) under uncultured bacterium. Its description in RNAcentral is "partial 16S ribosomal RNA". It matches the Rfam family "Bacterial small subunit ribosomal RNA", at positions 524 to 776 of the family's 1533-position model. The record is from RNAcentral.
UACGUAGGGGGCAAGCGUUGUCCGGAAUCAUUGGGCGUAAAGCGCGUGUAGGCGGCUUGGUAAGUCCGCUCUGAAAGCCCGGGGCUCAACCCCGGGAGGCGGGUGGAUACUGUCAAGCUCGAGUCCGGAAGAGGCGAGUGGAAUUCCUGGUGUAGCGGUGAAAUGCGCAGAUAUUAGGAGGAACACCAAUGGCGAAGGCAGCUCGCUGGGACGUGACUGACGCUGAGACGCGAAAGCGUGGGGAGCAAACAGG